This 488-nucleotide ribosomal RNA is filed under the name uncultured Glomeromycotina. RNAcentral's name for it is "SSU rRNA". It matches the Rfam family "Eukaryotic small subunit ribosomal RNA", at positions 569 to 1063 of the family's 1831-position model. Lineage: Eukaryota; Fungi; Glomeromycota. The record is from RNAcentral.
AGCAGCCGCGGUAAUUCCAGCUCCAAUAGCGUAUAUUAAAGUUGUUGCAGUUAAAAAGCUCGUAGUUGAAUUUCGGGGUCAGUAGGUUGGUCGUGCCACCGGUACGUACUGGUCUCACUGAUUCCUCCUUCCUGAUGAGCUGUAAUGCCAUUAAUUUGGUGUUGCAGGGAAUCAGGACUGUUACUUUGAAAAAAUUAGAGUGUUUAAAGCAGGCUAACGCUUGAAUACAUUAGCAUGGAAUAAUGAAAUAGGACGUUCGAUCCUAUUUUGUUGGUUUCUAGGAUUGACGUAAUGAUUAAUAGGGAUAGUUGGGGGCAUUAGUAUUCAAAUGUCAGAGGUGAAAUUCUUGGAUUUAUUGAAGACUAACUACUGCGAAAGCAUUUGCCAAGGAUGUUUUCAUUAAUCAAGAACGAAAGUUAGGGUUCGAAGACGAUCAGAUACCGUCGUAGUCUUAACCAUAAACUAGCCGACUAGGGAUCGGAUGAUGU